ACCCCGCAUUCGCCCUGCACGUGCCUACACAUGCAAAUCGAAUGAAAGAAUUAAUUAUUGUUUUCAUGGUGAACGGGUGAGUAACACAUAAGAAUCAGCUUUUAGAUAAGGCAUAAAAGAGUAAUAUCUUGGUAAUUCCUUAUAUGCGCAGCAGUGCUUAAAAAGGGGAGUCCCGUCUAAAAACGAGCUUAUGCCUGAUUAGCUAGUUGGCGAGUUAAAAGCUCACCAAGGCGAAGAUCAGUAGCUGGCCUGAGAGGGCGGCCAGCCACAUUGGGACUGAGACACGGCCCAAACUCCUACGGGAGGCAGCAGUGGGGAAUCUUCUGCAAUGGGCGCAAGCCUGACAGAGCGGCGUCGUGUGAAGGAAGAAGGCCUGAAAUAGGUUGUAAACUUCUUUUACUGAAUAAUGAAUAAUGACAACGCAGUAAAAAAGUAUCGGCUAACUCCGUGCCAGCAGCCGCGGUAAUACGGGGGAUGCAAGCGUUAUCCGGAAUCACUGGGCGUAAAGCGUCUGUAGGUGGUUUAGUGUGUUCUUAGUUAAAUUCUGAAGCCUAACUUCAUGAAAAGUAAGAAAACUAUUAGACUUGAGUACGAUAGGGGUAAGAGGAAUUCUUCGAGAAGUAGUGAAAUGCGAAGAUACGAAGGAGAAGAUCAUAAGCGAAGGCUUCUUACUGGGUCGUAACUGACACUGAGAGACGAAAGCUAGGGGAGCGAAUGGGAUUAGAUACCCCAGUAGUCCUAGCUGUAAACGAUGGAUAUUCGGUGCCGGAAAUUUUAUUAGAACAUUUCGGUACCCUAGCUAACGCGUUAAAUAUCCCGCCUGAGGAGUACGCUCGCAAGGGUGAAACUCAAAUGAAUUGACGGACGAC
Molecule: ribosomal RNA, 869 nt
Filed under: uncultured bacterium
Lineage: Bacteria
Description: bacterial SSU rRNA
Rfam family: Bacterial small subunit ribosomal RNA
Source: RNAcentral